Non-coding RNA from Leptosomus discolor (cuckoo roller), 348 nucleotides. NCBI's taxonomy places the organism in Eukaryota, Metazoa, Chordata, Aves, Leptosomiformes, Leptosomidae. The record is from the annotation of a RefSeq genome assembly.
AUGUGGACUGCCAUGUGCGUGGGGUUAUUGCCUGUCAUAGCAGUCACUGCCCAGGUGUCCUUGGAGCAACACAUUGGGGAACUGGCCGUGCGAGACGGUGAUGGAGUCACCUUCCAGUGCAGCAUGAGUGGAGACAGAAUGAGCAGCUACUUCAUGUCCUGGUACCGGCAGGGUCUGCGUGGCACUCUGGACUGGAUUUACUGGGAAGGUGAUACCUAUGGAGAAGGUUUCGAGGAUGGCUUUAAGGGAACAGUGGAGAGCUCCCAGAACAGAUUCACACUGCAGAUCCAGGCAGCAAAGCCAGGGGAUGAAGCAGUGUAUUACUGUGGUGCAGACCUCACUGUAUAG